AUAAUUUCAUAGAUGCCCCUCUAGAAACUAUUAAUUUCAUCAAUACCCUUCCAAAAUUAAUAAUAUCACAAAUACCCUCCAAAAUGUGAAAAAUUAUCAUAAAUACCCUCCUCUAGUUAAGAUUCAUUAAAGCCCAUUUGAAUCGGAGUUAAAUUUUUAAAAUACCAUUUUUACCCUUUAUCUCUUUUUAAUAGUAGAAAUACUAAUAGGUAUUUCAAAAUAAUUUUUGUAAAUCUAAAUUUGAGUAUUUAAUAUAUAAAUAGUUAAUUAAAUUAUUAAUAUAUAUUAAUUAAUAAAAAAUAUAUAAAAAUUGUAUUUUAAAUAUAGUAUGUUUUUAUCUGAUUUUGGUUUUGUUUUUGGUUUUGGGUUUCGGUUCAGAUUCGGUUUAAAUAUAGACCAAAACUAUAUAACUGAAUUUACAUACGACGGGAUUUUAUUUUUUGGUAUCUAUAACUAAAACUAUCCCCUAUUCAGCAUUGAUUAAACUUAUCCCAUUUUAAAUCGAGUUUAGAUAAAAUUCCGUAUCUAUAUCAAUUCACAUUCCUAAUUAGUAAUAGUAAUUUUGAAAUAAAUUAUAGAUUUUAUUUUUUUCCUAUUUAAAAAUAAAUCACAUAAUUGUUUUGUCGAUUGAAAUAAAAAGAGAGUUUUGUUCAAAAGCUAAAAUAUAUUAUAUUUCAGUUUUUUAAUACACUUAAUGCAGAUAAAAUUAUCGAGAAUAAUUUUGAUUAAAAAAUUUUUUAAGUUUUCAAGAUUAAAGAAAGAUCGGAUAAUUCCUUAACAUUAUUUUCAUUUAAAUUUUUAUAUAUAGUUAUUUAUUUGAUAAAAAAUAAAUAGAGCCAUUAGAUUUGGUAAAAUCAUCAAAAAAAACUAAAAAAUUUUUUUUUUUUUAUACACUGAAAUUAGGUUUUUUUUAUAAAUAAAAAGUUAAUGGGAUAUCAACUAAAAAAUGAAAGUUGAGGGAGCUGUUUCAAAAUGCAUAUAGUUGAGGGGGUUUCCACACAUUUUUAGUUAAAAGAUAUUUGAGGGUAAAUAAGUCAUUUUAAAAAUUAACCCAUCUUUAACCAUGUAAUAACUAUAGUAAAACUAACCUAACUAACAGUAGGGGUAUUAAUGAUAAUUUUUUGUGUUUAUAGGGGUAUUGGUGAUAUUUUAAACUUUAUAGGGGCAUCUAUGAUAUUUUAAACUUUGGGAGGGGUAUCCAUGAAAUUGCCCCUAUUAUAUAUUAGCUGAUGAUCCCGUGCAUUAUGAGAAGUGCUAGAUGUACAACCCUCUUUGGACUGUAAUUCUACAACUUUUCUUGUUCAAAUGCCUCUUUUUUUUUUUUUCUUCCACUUGUUUUAUCACUUUUUUUUUCCUUUUUUUUUACGAAAAAUUGAAAUUGGGUCGGUAAAUCUUAUAAUACUUGGACGAGGAGUUAUAAGAAUUACAAUCUAUUUUGAUUGUAGGCUUAGCAUUUUUCAUGCAUUAGAUAAGUUAUAAAUGCGAUAGUACCAUGUAUCCCAAUAAUUUGGUAUAGUGGGGUGAUUGCAUUAAUAAAGCGCAUUGCACAUGCUUCUCACUUUCUUGCACAAGAAGGUAAAGAGAGAGACUUUUGUACCACAAAGAAGAGGAAAAAGAGAGAGACAUUUCGUAGCCCAUUGAAGGUAGAGAACAAGUUCAAUUUCCAAGGCAGAUAACCUACCACAAUUGGACAAUCUUGACUUACUAGGCAUAUUUAUAUGUAAGUAGCUUGUGCUUUGCAAACUCUAUGAGGAAUGUAACGUACAAUCAAAUUAUUACUGCGUAUAAUAACAAGAACCGUGUUGAAUAUCUUUGUAUGUACGUAAAAUUUAGUUGAUGAAUCAGUUUUUGCAUGCAUAUAUCUAAGAGUUCGGUAGUGAUUAAUUCUCUAACUGUUGAUGUAUAUGCAUAGUUUAGGUCGGGCGUCUUAGAGUCAUAACUUGAAUUAAUUUAAAAAACUAAACUAAUGAUUUACGAUCAUAUUGUGUCUAAAAAUAACUCACGAAUUCAAUUUAGAAAUACAUUGUAAUACAUACAAUAUGGGUUUUAUGCAGGUCUCUAUCUUUGUACCUAUCAUGAUAUUAGAAUAGCGUACACCGACCAGUGCAUAGCUAGCUAGAAAAUUGGGCGCUGUCACUACCAUGUCCCUGUAACAGUUGCACUACGAAAUGUAGGAUUGAAAAAUCUUAAUCCAAUCAAAUCUUAUCAUCUAUCGUACAUAUUUAUCAUUUUUAACAGCAAUGAUCACUAUAAUAAUUUUAAAUCCGACCUCCUCCGAAUCUUAUGAUUUGUAAGAUAAUAAAUUUAUCGAUAGAAAAAAAAGAAGUUGUAUGGAAUCUUAAUAUAUGGAAGAUAUUGUUUCGUGGAACACUUUAUCUUUAUAGAUACGAUGACGAGCGAAAACGAAAGGGAGAUGAAUCAAGCUAAACACGUGAAAGAGUUGGGCUCCAAUCUCUACAAAGAUUGCACGAAUCUCAGUCGCCGCUCAAACGUCGCUUAAUGGAUAUAUAAUUGAGAUCUUUCUUAAAGCGACUCCACGAUGGCCACGUCACCAUCCACUUCCAUGCACGUUACGAGUUCAAAGUCAUGCAUGCAAACAAGCCUCACGAAAAGCACAUCAUCAACUACUUAUCUUACUUACGUAUAUAGUUUGGUGAGUCGUGUGAUUGACAGUUUGUUCAAAGUUUUAAAACUCUAUUUUAAUAUAAAAGUUUUGAUUUGAAUCUUAAUACUGUAUUGGAUGAUGAAUUUAGGGGAUCCUAGAGGGAGAGAACGAGUCGUUCCUUCCCCGUUCAAGCUAUUAACUGCCGUGGAAUUUUAUAGAAAAAUUAUUGUAUAUAUCUACUGUAGUGGAUGCAUCCAUAGUAUUUAAAUUUUAUAUUAGAAGCUCUCAUAUUUAUAUUUAAUUUGUUAAAUAUUAUAUAUAAUACUUAAAAACGAGCACAUACAUAGUUUAAUUAUAUAUUACCGCUUAGAUUAGUUGGUAUCUUAAUUACAUGAUAGUAAUAUAGUAGAUAUAAGGCUGUGAUUGGGUUCUAGCUCUAAGCAAAAGAAUACGUGUCGGAUCAACAUAUAUUUUAAAUUUUAAUUUCAAUAUAUUUUGAUGUUUGCUAGUUAAUAGCUAGAUUUAUUUUUUUUUUGAGAAAUAGGUAGCAAGCUACCUGCUUCAUUCAUUAAGCAAAAUAAACUAAGCGUACAAAAUGGAAGCAGCCAGGGCCUCCGAAAGAACAGGCAAAAAGGAUGAAAUAAAAUUGAAAGGCAGAAAGAAAACAAAAAGAACAAAAAAAAGGAAAAAAGGAAGGGUGUUAAUAGGGAGAGAAGGGAUAGUAGCUGGAGCCGAAACAACACAUCACAGCAAAGAGUUCCAGUCGUUUAGCAGAAGUUUGACACGUUCAAGAGACCGGGUAGCGUUGUGCGUGGUUCCUCGGAAAAUUGCGUUAUUUCUAUCUGUCCAGAUCACCCACCAAGUUGCAGCGAGGAGGGUCAAGCGUCGUGUUCUUGAAGAGUCGACCGGAAUGUCACACGAUCCAGUCCAGAGAGUGUUGACGUCGCCCGUGCUGUCAUCAAAUGUACCCCAUCCUUUCAUACUGAAGAGCAGGUAUCUUACAUAUACGCAUGUAUAGAAUAGAUGGUCACAGCUUUCCAUGAGUACCGCGCAGAAGACACAGUGCUGAUCAACGAGCAUUCCACGUUUGAGUAGUCUAUCAGCAGUGAGUAAUCUCUUCCGCAAUAGCAACCAAAUGAAGACUUUGAUUUUGGCCGGAAUUUUGAGUUUCCAGAUAUACCGAUUCGUUGGGAUAUACUGUCCCGUGUCUGUGAUGAACUGGUAGAGGGAUUUGACAGUGAACAGUUGAUUGGAGGUCCAUCUCCAUUUAAUUGAGUCUGGACUGUCGUAGGGGCGAUGGCCUCGGAGCAAGUCUUUAAAAGUCGUUAACUGUCUGCGGUUUUCGAUGGAUUGUGACGCCGAGUAGCCGCGGCAUAUAAAGCGCCAUCUCCAUCCGCCGUGGUUCCAGCACUGAGAAACCCGAGCCUCCUUGUUCAUAGAGAUCUGAUAGAUAUCCGGGAAACGAGUGCGAAGGGGGGUUUCCCCUAUCCAGAUGUCAUUCCACAUCCUAAUGUUCCUCCCGUCGCCUAGCUCGUAAGUCACGCCACAGGCGAAAAUGUCUCGACACCGGACCACACCUUUAUUUUUUUCACAAAUUUAACACUAUUAGUUUUUACAACUAUUUACUAUUUGGAUAGGAAAAUUUUAAAAGUAACUCAUUAAAGGUUAGUAGAACAUUAUUUGUCCUCUAAGUACAAGAUCCUUUAAUCGGCGAUCGACAUGUCCCAUUAAUCAAGCGGUCCCCAUGGGACAUGGUGAAUCAAAUAACAUGGAAUCAUAUAGAGACAUACGUAUAGCUUCUGAUUACGUGUGAGAUAUUUGGACCAUGUUGAGAUUGGCUGUAGCAUUUCCACGUCACUAUGAUCUUGUUCCACACGUCUUUUUACAAAGUUGUAGGGCCAAAAGAGUGGGAAUCUACUACAGGUCAUCAAACCUAAUAGUCUUUUGCAAAGUAGAUGCUAACUAAUAAUACAUCAAUUAUAUAGACCUUUGUUUAGACUUGGCAAAUGGGCGAGUUGGAUAAUUUACGGGUGGGUCAUUGUACUAACGGAUUACUUGGACAUGGGUAAAAUUACCAUAAAUUUUUGGAUAGCCAAUAUCUUUACCCAUACCUAGCUGCGGGUGGGCAGCUGGGUAUGCGUUUUACCUGCAAUUUUUUUUNUUUCUCUUAUAUUUUUUAAAUGCAAAACACACACACACACACACACACACAUAUAUAUAUAUUAAAAGCAUAACAUAACUCAUUAUUUAAAAUAUUAUAACUUACAAUAAAAAUAUGUAAAGUUUUAAAACAAAAAUAUUUCAUAAUAUAAAAGACACACGGUAAUAAAUUAGGGUUAAAAUUUUUAAAAUGGAUAAAUAAAAAAAUAUUUUUUAAUUACAAAAUAUAUGUGCGGGUAUCCGUGGAUACCUGCGGGUUAUCAAAAAUAUUCAUAGCUUAAUGGGUGCCCACCUGUUUUACUUGUAAUUUUUUAGGUUGAAAAAGUUGGUAUUCAUACUUGCAAAUUUGCGGGUAAUCUGCGGACACCUGCGGGUAUGGGUCGAGAUUGCCAAGUCUACCUGUGUUGGAAAAUAAUACAAAUUAACCCAAAAUGUUAGUAGUCCGUGCAACAAUAUGAUAUGUUGUUGUAAGUGUAUGAAAUUAGUGCACUGAUCAAAUUAGUUUAGAAACUCAUAUGCAAUAGUAGGUUUAGUUAUUAUCUAGAUUUGUGGAAAUUAAUUAAUAGUAGACUAGUGAUUGAUUUGUGGAAAUAGUGGCUUGGUAAGUGAAGUUCAUGAUGGAGUGAGGUUUUCGAAACUUACGCGCAAUAGUGGGUUUAACGGAGAAAAUUAAUGUGUUGAACGAAAUUUUCUUUGCAAUUUUGUUCUUCAAUUUGUAAUCAUGUUGCUUUCUAGUGUGUUAAAAAAAUUACUUCUUCUAUUCCAUUGUCUUUAUGUACUGUAGCAAUUAAUCUACUAUUUUCUACUUAACUUUUUCUUCCACCACCAACCUGAUCAUAUACUCUAACAAAUUUUGUUUUAAAUUGAUAAUUAAAUAUUAAAUUUGGUCACUAUUAAUCAGUAAUUGAAUAUAACUAAAUCAAACAAAUCUGAUUUAUUCAUAUUAAAAACAGUUUUAUCAAUGUCACUUCCUAUUUAAGAAAGAUCGACUGAUCAAUACUAAAGGGGGGAAUUGGGUCCAUACAGUCCCUUAAUUUUUAUUCUAUUUAACAAAUUAACAAAUGCGUUUGCCUUUUUUAGCUUUGGAUAUGUGGAAAAGCACAUGAGCGGGUAUAUUAGUUAGCAAAGCAAGAGUGGGCGGAAUUUAAUUAAUGCACACCACAUAUAAUUAUGUGAAGCUUGAAAUCUUAGAUUAUCAGUGAAGUAGUUGUCUUGUUGUUUUCUAAUUAAUCAACACAACCAACCUAUUUUUAAGCAGGAAUAGUGCUAGUGAUUGAUGUGAAUUAACAUGAAGGAUUCGCUAAGCAAUUGCUAUGCGAAUUCCACUUAUUAUGGUAGCUAUGAGUAUUCAUUAUCUCAAUUUGACAAGGAGAGAUAUAUAACUAAAUAGUGAUAUAGUUGGCAAUGCAUGAAGAAUUAACUAGUUAAGGUACUCGUAAAUUGAUGCAUGCAAUGUAUGAAGAAUUAACUAGUUAAGGUACUAGUAGAUUGAUGCAUGCAAUCCUUCGAAAAUUUACUCUCAACACACUAAACCAUAAGUUAACAUGUAAUCUACAUAUAAGCGCGCACACAUAUAUAGAGUCGGACUCUCUCUCUCUCUCUCUCUCUCUCUCUCGAUCUAUAUAUACAUGUUUAUACUAAGUGAUCUUAAUUAUAUGGGUUCCAUUAAUUUGUACUUUCAAAAACUUUAUCCCUGCGUACACGUUUCUCUGUGGGAGACCUUUUAGUUCAAAAUCAAUGUGAAUUGGGUGGCUUCCCUGCUUAUAGUAAAGGAUUUUUUCAUGAAUUAAUACAAUUUUAAAUAAGCGCAUGCAUCUAGCUAGUACAUUAGUAGAACCCAAAGUAGCUGAAAAUUAAACAACAUGAUAACAAAAACACUGAUUAAUUGUUCCUAUCAUAUAUAAGUAUCAAAGAGCUUGAUAAUUGGUACCUGAAAUAUCAAAUUUAAAAUUUAAUUACUUCACAUUUAACUAAGUUCAUUUCUUAAAAAUAUAAACAAAGAAUGUAGCAUAUACUUCCAUUCUCUCCCCCUCCCUCCCCCUCCCCAAAAAGAAGAAAACCAAAAAAAAAAAAAAACAAGAUAACAAAAACAACAUAUAUUAAUUGAUCCAAGUAUGGUCUCUUUCCUGGAAACAUAAGGCAAGUGAGUAGGAUAUAUGUCUUUCCCCGAAUCUCUCGAUAUACGGGAGAUUAUAUUCUCCAUUUCAUGAUUUCUUUUUUUUAUAAUAUUUGUGGAUGCUUAUUCUGACAAUCCUUUCCACAAUCCUUUACGGCAAUCGAUUGCCCAACUUGUCCCNUGAAAGAAAGUGAUUCUAGCACAAGCGUGGGAUCGACACAAUGCAAUCAUGGAGCAAAUGGAGCCCAGUCUUAAUUUGGAUUUUGAUGCCUAUUGGUGAUUCACAGGCCCAAGUAAAGAAGUUUUUCCUAUUAUUUGGGGGUUGUAAUGUCAAAGAUUCUUUUUGGUUGUUGUGGUUGUUGUGAAUUAUAUAUAUAUAUAUAUAUAUAUAUAUAUUUUUUUUUUGAGAGAUAGAUAGGAUGUUAUACGCUUCGUUUAUUUUAUUUAGAAAUAAACUUAGCUGAAAAUGUGAAUGAACUAGGAUUCGAAUUUAGAACUUCGGGUACCAAUCAUCAAGUCCUUUAUCACUUGCAUUAAGAACAGUCGGUUAUACAUGUUUGUAAUUGAUCAACAAAAUGUUGAACACCUAGCUAAUUGAAGAUUCGUUUAUUCAAAUAGGAAUAGGAAUUGGAAUCGGAAUCGAAAUCAAAAUAAGUUGGAAUCGGAAUCGGAAUGACUCAUUACUUAAUUCUAUUUGGUUUAUCACCUGAAUCGGAAUCGGAAUAAAUCAUUCCCAUUGUCGGUAUUUGGUUCAGGUGGAUAUAAAAAACGUAAUCAAAUUAAUAUACUAAUAUUGUCUUUAUAAUAUAUUAAUUUAAAUUCAAAUUAAAAAUUAAAUAUUAAAACUUUACAUCAAAAUUUUGAAAUAAUGUCAAAAUUUUAAAUCUAUUCUUUUAAAAAAAAUUUAAACUUUGAAGUUGAGUGGAUAAUUCAAAAUAUGAAACUAAAUUUUGAUUUAUCCAAAUUCAAACUUAAAAUUACAAUUUAAAAUUUAAUUUGAAUCCAUAAAUUUAAUUUAAGUUUGAAAUAAAAUUUGAAUAAAACUUUAUAUAAAUUAAAAUUUAAUUUAAAUUCAAAUUCAUAAGUUAGAUUCGAAAUACUUAAUUAAAUUUUAAUUUUUAAUUUAAGUUCAAAUUAAAAUUUAAAAUUAUAUAUUUAAUUUUUAAAUUUUAGCUCAUAGUUUAAUUAAAAAAGUUGAAAAAAUAAAUUUAAUCGGAAUAAAUAUCCAUUCCGUCCGGAUUCAACUUCCAAUCCGAUUUCCUAGGCCGGAUUGAAAAUAGAGGUGAUUGGGGAAUUCCCAUUCCACUCAGGAAUCGGAAUCGGAAUGGGACUCCCGCGUACCAAACACCCACAAACGGAUUCACCUAUUCCGAUUCCGAUUCCAGAGUGAAAAAGAAGCGAACCAAACACGCCCAUAUGCUAUUGAGGUACUGUUUUAUUAAAGAAGACACAUAUAUAGCUAGGGCAUAAUGGUAUAUACUAGGAUGUAAAUGGUCAAAGUUAUUUGUGUUAAGCUGUACUUGUGCAGGAGUAAGGUACAUUAAAUCUAGUCAAAUUUAUCACUCUGAGUAACGGUUAUAAGGUUCAAUGCAUUUUAAUAUUGUCCAUAACAAAUUUAACUCUGUUAAUCUUAUUAUCUUAGAAAAAAUUGUAGAAAUUUCUUGGUACGUUAAAGGAUAAUCUUCGCUGAGUCAUAUGACUUCUGGAGUACGUAGCUUUAAUUUGUAUCUAACACAAAAGUAGUCAACAAAUGAAGCCUUAGGAGUUUUUAAAUAUGAUGGAUCAUGUAUGAAAUAAACUUCUCAAUCUUACAAAGAGAAGCUUCAAUUUGAAGAUUUAGUUUCUUUUAUGAGAAUUGUUAAAGAUUCUCUUUCAAAUUUGAACAAAAAUGCUUUUGGCAGUUAUUUGAUUAGGUUUUUAUUGAAUAAAUUUACAAGAAAAAGCACUUCGAUCGACAAAGAAAAGCAAAAAAACAUUUUGUUGUGAAGUUUUAGUAUAUAUGUACCACAUACACCAUUAUUUAUUGACAUGUCCGGCCAUUAAGUUGGUCACACUGAUAUUAUUCUGAUUAGCCCGUUUAAUUAGGUUUUGAUCUUACUAUGAAGAUUAAUUUCAUAAUCAAAAUUCAUAGAGCAUGUAGGGUACAACUUUACUAGACAAGUUGAAUAUACAAAGAGGAACAUAUAUAUAUAAGAAGACCAAAUCUUACCACACAGACCAAAAAGUUAUAGAGAAUAUCACAUUUGGUAUUAAAGAAAAAUAAUUGCAUGACUACCUGUAGUAUUCAAUAUAUCGUUCUUAUCUAUCGAUGAAGAUCAUUGCUAUAUUUAGGAGAUUCUCAUACCAGAUAAUUUAGAAGGUAAUAGUGACCUUGAAGAACAAUAAAUUAAGGUGUGUUACUAGAAAAUGAAAAAGAUUUGCUCUGCAAAUCGAGGUCUAUUAAAAUUAUUGGAUUUACCACCAUGGUUUGAAAGUGAUCCUAUGAGAAUGAAAGGUUUGACGUAUUCUUGAUUGAGCUCUAACAUCGAACUAACGCGCUAUUUUUAAGUUAAGUUUACUAUACUAACGAGCAGUUUACACAUCUGUAAAAUUAUUAGGUAUAUUGAAUGAUUCAAGCAUUAAUCUAUACACAUUUAUCUAUUACAUAUAAUGAAUCCUUAGUUUUUACAGGGGUAGCGCGAACGGGAGUGGGGUGGGGUGGGCACACCCCUUUUUUAAUUUUUUAUUUUAUUUUAUUUUCUCUCUUUCUAUUGAUUUGGAGAAGCGGACUUUUUUUGUUUAAUCCAAUUUAAUUUUUCUCUCUGGUUAUAAAAAUUUAAAAUAUAUAAUUAUUUAUGUAUAUUUUUAAAUAGUUUACAUUGCAUGUACUAAAUAUAAAUUUUACUUUUAUAAUAUUGAUCACUUAGAUAUAGAUUGUACAAUAAAAAAUAAAAAAAAGAUGGAUAGAGUUUGAAUUAAUUACUUAUUUAAUAAAUUUAGUCGUAAAAAUUACAUGAAGUACUAAUUAAAUCUGUAAAACUAAACGACGCAUUCAAAAUUUGAAAUCAAAGUAUCAUGAACUGAUGCAAAUCUAACAUAUAAAAAUGUUAGAUAGUAAAAAUAAAAUCUUGAAAGGUUGGAUAACUGAUUUAAAAUAGUUUAUCGUUCAGAAAAGUUCUGUACGUUUUUACUUUGAUUUUAAUGUCAAACUUAGUAUCAUAUUUAUAGUUUGAUGAGCGAUCAAUUUCACAUUUAAAAUAGUUUAGAAUAUCCAAAAUAUAAUUAGUCGAUUUUUAAUUUUAACAAUUGAGUGUUCUAAAAUUUAUUAGAUAGUUUAACAUAUUUUUUUCUCAAAUAAAAUUACUAAUUGAAUACAACCGAUCGAUACUCAAUUCUGUCUUUUUUUUAAAUAAAAUUAAAAUAUAAAAAGAAUUUAAUGACUUAUAUUUUCUUGCUCAAAGUAUGAGACACGUGAAGCUUUAGUUCUUAAACUUUAAUGAGUUGCAAUUUCAGACUUACUAAGUAAUUCUUUUUUAUCCUUUUUAUAUUUUUAUUCUUAUACUUUUACUGCAACAGCUGUUCUUUUUUAUAAUUUUUUAACAUUUAUUUGUUUCUAUGGAAUCGACUGUCGUACAGUGCGGAUACCUUCACUAGUAUAGUUUAAGUAUCCGACGAAAUCGAUGACGGGUUCGGCCACCACACUUCCACUAAGAAAAACAUUGUAGCUCACAUUUGUUUAGCUUGGACUCGUUUUUAGUUAGGAGGAUUAGGUCCAUUAAUUGAACCUCUUUAUACAAACAUUCAAAGCCCAAUAAUCACUUGCACAUAAAAUCAUUCUAGAGUAAGAUCUGAUAAUGCAAAAUUUGUCAAAUCACCCAUGCAUUUGAAGGGUAAUGAUUGUUCCUUUCCCUCUUUGGUAUGACAAUUAGGUGAUCCGCGUACCUGAUCAUUUGCGUCCACUCGAAUUUGUGUACAUUUAAAGGAAAAUUGCAGCUUUAGAGGAGAAAGAUGAAUAGAUCUCAUGUGACCCAACUCGACAGGACCCCACCCAGUUAGACACAAUCACUGAGUAAGGAUUCGGCACCCACGCGCAAAGGACCCAACAUUGUCCUCCUCUCUCUUUUCAUUGUCCGACAACAAUUAAGUUUUAACUAAAGAAGAUCGCAAAGUGACUGUUGUUAAAAGCAGAAGCCGAAAUAUAUAGUUCUGCGUAUACAUUUAGUACCCGUGCUACGUACACAUGAUCAUUUCCUAUUUAUGUCCAAGAAGGGUUCCAAUUAAUAUUUUUCGACAACUUAUUUGGUGCUUUAUGAAUGAAACUUCCAUAUUCCCCUUUUUUUUUAAAAAAAAAUGCGUAAUUAACAUCGUAUUUGACAAAGUUUCUUAAUUACUCAUUUGCUAAAAAUAAUUUAAAUCAAAACACAUGUAACUUAUUAGAUUGGUGAAUAGAUAUACAAAUACAAUAAACACAAACUAUCUACAAGUUUUGUUGAUUGGAUGGCAUGUUACGCGCUAGCACUAUUCGCUUAAAGUAUUAUUUGAUCAGUACUGUGAGAAAAAAGUAUUAUAUUAAAUAAUUUUUAAGAGGAAUUUUCUAUUUUUCACAUUUAGAAUAUUUGUUUCGAUUUUAAUUUUGUUGCGUGGAGUUGUAUUAAUUUAAAGGUUUGAAAAGAGAUAUAAAAAUGCAGUCAAAUAGGUUCUUUGGGAACUAUACAUGACAACGAUAGGUGAAUGUCAAACUCUUUUAUAAAAUAAUUUAUGAGUUACUUAUUUUUCUCAAUCUGAAAGUGGUGACUUAUAAACUAUAAACUUUAUGGGUUGACUAUCAUAAAGUCAAAUUAAGUGAUAUAGCUAUAAAUUAACUUGUUUCCAAACUAUAAACAAAUUAGGUGUCAACAACUAAUUAGUGCUAGGGAUCUCAAAAAAAAAAAAAAAAAAAGUCGGUUCUUUUUUUUUUUUCCAAAGUUAAUUGUUAAUUAGGGCAUAAUCCUAUUAAAUUAUUAAAGAAUUAAAGAAGAGUACAAAAAAGAUUCUCCAAUCCAUAAUAAAACUCGAUUUUGAAGAUAUUGUGCCCGUUGAGUGUUGGAGAAUUAGUAGUAUAUAUUACCACAUACAUGCAUGCUUUGAGCCUUUGACAUACACCUGUGCAGUACAAUUGCAUUUCGCUACAUUAAUUAAUGAAAUCUUUGAUUAGAGGAGAUGAUAUUGUAGGAGAUGCAUACUUUUUAGGAACAAAUCAAAUUUAUAUAUUAAUUUGACCAAAAAUCAGUGAAUAAUGAUCAAAUUUAAUAAAUUUAUUUAGUUAAUAAUAAGUUUUAAUGUGUUAAUACUAACACCAUUUAGUUAGGUAUCGCACAAAUCCGAAUAGUUGAAUGUGUUGAAUAUAAAUAUUUAAAUUUCCAUUCUCUCAUUGCUUAAGUUUUUGAAAAAUAAAUAAUACUUGUUUUAUAUGAUUUAACAUGAUAUCAGAUCAGGGGAUUAUGAGCUUGAAUCUCACUUACUUUAAGCCCAAUUAUUUUAUAUAAUAUAACAAAAUUAUCGAUUAAUUAUUAAGCACCACAUUACAAAGCUGACUCCAUUAUAUAUAAUUGGGGUAUAUUUUGAGAUACCUAUUCAAUUCGCACCUGCACCAAACCCAACUCAGGAAAUGGAUUAGUUUCUCAUUGACCAGAUUAAAAUUUUCUCAUUGACAAAAUUAAAAUUUAAAACCCAUGAAUAUUAAAUAAAGCUCGAUUAUUCUCAUAAGAUUCCUCAACCAACUACCAACGAAAAUACUCCCCCUGCAUAUUUGGAAAGGAAAACUUCAAACAUGUCCUACGAAUCAACUAAAACAUGUUUAGUUAUGAAAAACUUCAUGGCUUACCAUUUUCUGUACGUUGGGGCAGUUGCCCGUGGCCCACAAGAUGGAAAUUUGUUCUGUGUAUUUUGAUGGUCUAAUGUUUAAUUUCUUUUGAUUCAUUUUCUAUUAGGAAAAGAAAAUGCUUCGUCAUUCGAUCAUUUUUAUUAGCUGCCUAUUAUUUAGGCUCAGUGUAUUCAAUAUUCAUACAUCCAUACACCAUAUUAUUAUCUUGCCGUCGUCUGUAAUUCAAAAUAUCAGCUUUAUACGAAGCAAUUAAUCCAGAUGUAGUCUUAACAGAAUAGCUUGCGUGUAAGUUAAAAGUCACAGUCAUGGAUACAUGAAAUUAAUCGAAUGCAAAAUCUCUUAAAAGUUAAAACUGAGGGAUCAAAACCAACCUCAUAUCGUACUAUAAGAAAUUGUGCAGCGCUAAUUCUAAUACUAUACUUUUCUUAUUCAUUGCUCUUUUUCUUACAGAGAAAUAUAUCAUGCUAUUCGUUUUGUUUAUUCUUCUAAAAAAAAUAAAUUUGAUUUAAAAUGUGAAACAAUUAAGUUUUAUAUUUGAAACAUUGAAUACCAGCUGCUAUCAAUCUCUUUGAUACAUGCGCUAAUUAAGGGAGUUCGAUUCUUUCGUACUUUUCAAUCCCUACCGCGUACACACUAAAAAUUGCUAAAGUUUUUUUUUUUGGUUUUUUGGUUUUUUUUUUGGUUUUGACUUAAAAUUAAAUAGUGAGAAACUGGUAAUAAAGUGUACGAAUACACGGAUACACCGAGCGCAUGCGAUAAUUUCCUUAUUCCUAACAUAGGAUAGGAUCUUUGAGCACGUCCCCCGUAUCUUUGUAAUCUACAAAUGCUUGGCCCGAAACGACGUCCGCAUAAACCAACCCCAGGAUUUUCUCUGCACCCCACCAAGAUCUCUUCCUCUCUCCCACACUAUUUAUUAACACUCCCCCCCUCCUCCUCCCUUUCGAAAAUUAACCCAUACAACAGAAGCUAGCUAAUCCCAAAUUAAACCAAUGGCUUUCUCUCCCAUCUCCUGUUUCCUUAAGGUCACCUUCCUCGUCGCCAGCCUCAUCUCCAUCGUCGGCCAACUCCGGCCGCCGUGGCCCCGGUCGCUGCCCGACGACCUCCUCGCCCUCGACAUCGCCCCCCGAAUCCGCACCGACCCCGCCGCCGCCGCGCUCGCCUCCGCCGACUUCGGCAACCUCACCGCCGGCCGGCCGCCGCCUGCCGCCGUGCUGUAUCCGUCGUCGGCGGGCGACAUUGCCGCGCUGGUCCGAUCCUCGUACGCGUCCCCGCGGCCGUUCCCGAUAUCGGCCCGCGGGCACGGGCACUCGCUGCGAGGCCAGGCGACGGCCCCGGGCGGCGUGGUGGUCGAGAUGGCGGCGCUGGGGAUCGGGCGGUCGGAUCGGAUUAAUGUGUCGGCGGGGAGCAGCUGUGGGGGGACGUGCUGCGGGCGGCGCUGCGGCACGGGCUGGCGCCGCGCUCCUGGACAGACUACCUGCACCUCACCGUCGGCGGCACGCUCUCCAACGCCGGGAUCAGCGGCCAGGCGUUCCGCCACGGCCCGCAGAUCUCCAACGUGCUUGAAUUGGACGUGAUCACCGGUACGACCACACUGCUAGCUAGCUAUUUUUAUUAUCUCCUCACUUUUAUUAUAAAUAAAUUAGUCCAAUAUUAGUUAUAAACGUCACAUGUAGGUCGAUAGUUACCAGUUGCAGGAGAAUUAUCGCCUGCACCCGGUGCAUCCGUAUAUCUCGUGCUUCAGUUUAUUUAUUUAUUUAACCAUUAAUUAAACUAUUAAAUAAAAUAAAAAUGCUGCAUUUACGAACAUAGGAGGAUUUUGAGAUUUGUGAAUUUUGAGUUUUGACUAUCAAAAUUGUAUCCAAUGCCUACUAAUUAAUUAAUUAAUUAAUUAAUUAAUAGACGAUGGUGCACGGAAUGUACAAAUACACCGGGUGCAUCUAAGUAAUAGAAAGUCCCCAUAAUUUUAGCACCCACGUAACCACGUUCGCUCUCGCCGCUAAUGACCACGUCGGCACAUGCGCGUAACACAGGAACGGGCGAGACGAUCACGUGCUCCAGGGACCUGAACCCGGACCUGUUCUACGCCGUGUCAGGCGGGCUGGGCCAGUUCGGGAUCAUAAUCCGGGCCCGAAUUGCACUGGACCCUGCCCCCAGCAUGGUCCGGUGGGCCCGGCUCAUCUACACCGACGCCGCCGCGUUCACCGUGGACCAGGAGCGGCUCAUAUCCCCCAGGCUCGGCGGCGCCGGCGCCUCUCGGCUUCAGCUUGACUACGUGGAGGGCUCGAUCAUCGCCGACCACAGUCUCAUCGGGAGCUGGCGAUCAUCGUCCUUCUUCUCCGAGCCAGAUAUCGUGCGGAUAAGCGCGCUCGCAACUCGCCGUGCCGUCCGUACCGUGUACUGCAUCGAAGCUGCCAUUUACUACGAUGACAUGACCUCAGCUUCGGUCGAUCAGGUAAAAAUAAAUAAAAUUACUCUUGAUCUAUGUUAUCACUGUAGUAACAUUUUUAAGUUAAUUUACAUACGCACACGUUAAAAAUACUAAUAUUAUAUAAAUUCGUAAGAGUUAAAAAAUGGCAUACGUAAAUUGAUGCUUGGCUCCCAUAUCGUAAUAAAGAUCUCGUGUCUCUUUUCAUAGGACCCACGUGAUUCGGUCCACAGCGAGAGAUCCUCGUGUGUGCGCGUCCCCAAACAACCCGAAAUGGAAACUUUGGUCGUAAAUUUGAACUUUUGAGGUGUUGGGUUUCCAUUUUGGGCAGGUAUGGGUGCUUGUUGGGUGAGCUAAGGUGGUUCGCUGACCCAACAAGGCAACAACGUUGUCAACAACUGAGUCGGACCGAGCCAAGUUGUGGUUGUGGGUCAUAUGAGUUUGGGUUCGGUGCAUAUAUGCUACGUACGUGUGGUCCCAUAUUUGUUUUUUGGGGCCAAUAUGUGGAUAUAAAUGGGACGUGGAGCUUUUAUGCAUCUGUUCACCACGUCGUACUUGAGUCCCUCUUUUGUACGCACACAAUCUUUUUUUCCAAGUUGCUUUCGAGAUUCUCCACGCAUUUGUUUUCUACUUUUUGGAUGGCUUUAGUUUCUUUUUUUUUCAUCUUUCUUCCAGUGUCCUGCAUAAAAUAAAAUUAAAAAAAAAAAAAAAAAAAAAAAUUCUUAUAUGUGUAUCACGCGUCGCGCCACAAGUGGACAGCGAAUCGCCAUAAAAACAAAAUUUUAUGUGCAGGAAUUGCACCUCAUGGCAUAGUAGAGUUUACGUCAUGCAAGCCACUGUUUGUUGAUGAAAAGGAUAUAUCAUAUACAUGUCAGUGUUUGGAUCCUCACUUCCAUACAUAUUAGGAACAGCAACAUGCUAACACCAUUUGUGAUCAAUUAAUCAUUUCGAUUUUCCCCAUUAGAUGGCCCUCGUACUUUUCGAUCGGUAGCCUAAAUGAUCAGCAAAUAACUAAAUCACUUGAGAGGAAUCCAACUCUAGGACUUGAUGUCCUAUGCUGAAGAUUAAUUUGGUGUGUAUGAACAAAGGAAGAUCUGUUUCAACUUUGACAUUAAUUUCAUAUACCUACCGUAUAUUUGCUAUUAAUUAGAAUCUACAUUGACAAGUAAGGUUUCUUAACAGGAACUCAACUCAUUGCUUCAAGAGCUAAGCUUUGAGCCGGGGUUUGUGUUCACACGAGACGUGUCGUACGUGGCGUUCCUUGAAAGAGUCCACGAAGGCGAGCAAAAGCUCCGAUCGGUCGGACUAUGGGAUGUCCCUCAUCCUUGGCUAAACAUCUUCAUUCCCAGGUCUCGAAUACUAGACUUUGAUCGCGGAGUGUUUAAGGGAAUUCUUAAGCACAAUAAGGCCAUGGGCCCCAUUCUAAUUUACCCCAUGAACAAAAGCAGGUAAGUGCAUUCGUUACUCAAUUUUGUUCAAUAAGAAAAUCAAAAGUCUCAAGUUUGAAGAAAAGUAUUGUUUGAAUAGCGCCUACUAUCUUUCUUCUACGCUACUAACUUUCAUUUUCGCUACAACAAAAAACUGUAGACUUUUUAUGUAGCAAGAAAUGUUGUUCUAAAAAUCAUGACAAGUAGGCGCCGGUUCAUUGACAAAUUGAGAAUUCAUCUUAAACUGUGAUUAGUGCAUGAGUUAGUUGAGGGUCUUUUCUGCAGGUGGGACGAUCGGACGUCAGCAGUGGUCCCCGACGAAGAAGUUUUCUACACCAUAGGCUUGUUGAGAUCAGCAGUAAAUGAUGAUUUGGAAUUUUUGGAGGCCGAAAAUGCUGAAAUACUCCGAUUUUGUAAUGAGGCUGGUAUUGAACUUAAGAAGUACCUACCUCAUUACACAACUCAAAGUGAUUGGAUGAAACACUUCGGUCCAAAAUGGGGUAAGUUCGUGGAGAUGAAGAUGAAGUAUGACCCAAAAGCGCUCCUAUCUCCAGGGCAAAGGAUAUUUACCCCAUUGAUAGAGGGUUAUUCCACAGAGUGACUCAAAGAGAUUUACAUCUCAUUUUAGGUCGAAUACUUUGAUGUACAUCUUGUAAAAUGCUAGCCAUAGUUUGUAGAAAUUAAACUAUUCCACUUUUCGAGUCUUUGUUUGUCAAUCAAUGAUCUGCAUAUAAUUUUCUACAGCAUGAUUAAAUACAUUUAGGGUGUGCUUGGUUUAAUAUAUUGCUUUCCAUUCCGACUGUUUGAUCAAGGAGAUGCUCCUUUUCAGUUUCUAUUACAGGGUAGAAUAAGAAAAGCAAGCGAUCGACCUAAAACUGAGACAGUAGUGAAAAUGUGGAGUCAUUUUUGAACCUCAAUUGAAGUCUCAAUUCAGCUGCCGAAAGAGCUGCAACAAAUUCAAUCAAGUCAGAUCAUAGUUUCCAUCGAUUUUGAUUUCGCACGCCAAAACACUUGUAAAUGACAAAGAUUCUAAAUACGCCAAAAUAGAAUUCAAAGUAAGAACAGUGUGAUUGACACAGGAAAUUUAACUGGUUCCAAAGUUGUGCUCAAUCUUUUAGGUUGGAUCAUUUUAGAUGUCAAGAUGAUGUUUCUAGGUACUACAAAUUUGGAGGGGCUGGGCCAGUAUCGUUUGAGUGAAAGAAAAUAUGAUGGAACAAAACAUGUACUUGACUUUGGCCACCUCUAUUACAUCAUGGACCACUCUAUAAUAGCUUUGUUACCACUCUAUAAUAGUUUCUUUCGCCAGCAUGACAAAAUUUGUUGCUUUAAUCUCGUACGAGAAGAUGAAGAUUUGGCAAGUAAAGUUUUUUUUUUCUUAGUUUUAUGUGUGGAAAAUCCUAUUGACGGUAAUGAUAUUUUUUUGGCUGUUGCGCAGCUAAGUCUAUGACGAAAGUUACAUUACUUGCAUACAAACUAUUAGUGAAUAAGUAGAAUUUGCUCAUGAUUGUAUAAAAAAAAAAAUCUACAUUACGUUUGAAUAAUUUUUAGUUCAAAAUGAGACCUAAUUAGUAAAUAACUAGAAUUUGUUCAUCAUAGUAGGAGUAGGAAACAUGGGCUCGAACAAUUUGGCCCAAGAAAUGUUUAGAUUUAUGGACACGCCCAACAUUUGUUUAGGAUCCAUGUAUUGCAUUACGUGGGCUAAUUGCGAGGGGCUAAGUUUCACUGGUCGGACCAUUGGUUUCAAUGGUAAAUCUCUACUUUAUUAUUUGGUCCACUAUAACUUCAUCUUCGGGUAAAAAUUCAAAAAUUUCAAAAUAGCAUAAAUAAUUUCGACUUAGCUGAGAUCUAAGUCAAAGAUGAAAAAAAUAAAAUAAAAUAAAAUUAUUAAUCAUCUCUCACAGCUUUAAUUUUUACGCUAUUUAUUUUCCACCAAAUAAAUGAUAAAAUUGAAAAAAAUUAUUUCCACCAAUGUACAAAAUAAACAACAAAAUAGUCAUCAGGAAAUUUACUACAUGCGUGAACCAACCUGGUGUGUUGGGCGAGCAACGGACGAGGCCCGGGACCCCGCCCACUUCUACUUCUUCUUCUUCUGGAUACGAGUCGUUCGGAGGGCGAUGCAGUUCGCGGCGGAGGACCACCGCUUCCUCGUCCACCUCUCCCGCCUCCUCCGCCGCGAGAGAGGGGCGCGGCUAUGGCUCGGCGCCGCGCUCGUCUCCCUCCUUAUCCUCCUCCUCCUCCUCCUCGCGCCGCGGAUCCCCCAUUCCCCAUCCCUCCACAUCUUCGCCGACAUGCGCAACUUCCUCGGUUGUAACCCCCUCUCUCUCUCUCUGCAUCUCUCUACGAACCCUAAUCGUGCCCAAUUGCUUGAUCCCGCUUCCGCCGCAGGGGUGCCCAACACGCUCAACGUGCUCACCAGCUUCCCCUUCUUGCUCGUCGGAGUCCCCUCCCUCGUCCUCUCCCUCUCCGGGAGCUGCUUCGGGAUCAGGUGCGCUAGGGUUCCGCCGACGCUCGAUUUUCCUGGAAAUGUUCGGAGUUCCACUCCGAUUGUGCGCCAUUUUGGAAUAAACCCCUUAAAUUUUCGUUUUUAGUCAGGGGAUUUGUCAAAAUUAGAAACUUUGAUGGUCAUUGGCAGGUGACAAUCAAACGGAAUUCGCAAUUACCAUUUCAAAAGGGCCAAGUUUGCGAGGAGUUUCUUUUCAAAAUGGCGUACAUUUGAGGGGGUACGUGCACAUGUUGUACCCGUUCUCUUUCCCGGACCUGUUCUGUUUAUAUGGUUUGGUGACAAUUAGAUUACUAGGAAAGUGUUUGAUGGAUGUUCCGUGUGGGUUGUAGCUUGAAAGGAGAGGUCUUGGGUUGGGCUUUUUUCUAUGCGGGGAACUCGGCGUUGGCGUUUGGAUCCGCAUAUUAUCACCUUAAGCCGGAUGAUGAUCGAAUUGCUUGGGACAGGUUACCGGUAUAUACGAACCCAAUCUUCUAUAAUGUCCUUUUUAUUCUGCAUUGUUGUGUGAACAUUUGAGUUUGUGAUGUUGUAUUGUUAAAUGGAAGCAUCUGCCUAAUAGUAGUUGGGUUCCAGAUCUUUCUUCUAAUCUUCGAAUAUGUAGAUUUUUAUUCACUUCAGAGACUUUGGAAUUGUACUAUUUGUAUU
This 19720-nucleotide long non-coding RNA is filed under the name Ananas comosus (pineapple). RNAcentral describes it as "long non-coding RNA (ACOM_LNC015878)". Lineage: Eukaryota; Viridiplantae; Streptophyta; Magnoliopsida; Poales; Bromeliaceae. The record is from RNAcentral.